RNAcentral lists this ribosomal RNA (463 nucleotides) under uncultured bacterium. Its description in RNAcentral is "bacterial SSU rRNA". It matches the Rfam family "Bacterial small subunit ribosomal RNA", at positions 340 to 789 of the family's 1533-position model. The record is from RNAcentral.
UACGGAAGGCAGCAGUGGGGAAUAUUGCACAAUGGGCGAAAGCCUGAUGCAGCUAUGCCGCGUGUAUGAAGAAGGCCUUAGGGUUGUAAAGUACUUUUCAUCGGGGAGGAAAAAACAAAACUAAUAAUUUUAUUUCUUGACGUUACCCGAAAAAGAAGCACCGGCUAACUCCGUGCCAGCAGCCGCGGUAAUACGGAGGGUGCUAGCGUUAAUCAGAAUUACUGGGCGUAAAGAGCACGUAGGUGGUUUUUUUAAGUCAGAUGUGAAAUCCCUGGGCUUAACCUGGAACUGCAUUUUGAAACUGAAAUACUAGAGUAUCGUAGAGGGAGGUAGAAUUCUAGGUGUAGCGGUGAAAUGCGUAGAUAUCUGGAGGAAUACCUGUGGCGAAAGCGGCCUCCUAAACGAAUACUGACACUGAGGGUGCGAAAGCGUGGGGAGCGAAACAGGGAUUUAGGAUACCCGU